CUGAAAUAUUUGGUGCAAGGGCUCUGCCCCGGCUCCUAGCCAGAAUCGAGAGCAGACUCCUUCUAAGACACAUACGCCUUAUUGGCAUGAGGCCACCUUUGCCUAACAUGCUAUAUAAGCUAACAGAGAAAAAGCGGACAUUGGGAGACUCAGGACUACACGCAGGGAUUCUGCCCAACGGGACCCCGACCAGCCCCUGUCUUGGGAUUUCCCCAGUUGUCCUACGAUGUUGAGCCAAGGUGUAAAACAUGGUAUUUUGACAUGUGUAAAUGAAUACUACAAUGAAGAAAAGCUGCCUAUCCUUCUAACAGGAGUUGAUUUUCAUCCUUCAGCCUGUCUCACAGAGUAAGAAGUUUACAGGAGCUCCAACCUGACCAACUGCCAUGUCCAUUUCAAAGACAAGAGUAAGGAAAGAAGCCAAGGCAAAUGAGCUUACACAGCCAUUGUAGCUUCAUCUAAGCUGUCUUCCCAAAGUCAAGACAAUAUCUCUUAUUCCUAAUUGGCCUGAAUUUCUCUAGUCAUAUUUUGCUAAGAGACAGAUCAGAAAUGACAACCAUUUGUUGUGGUAUUGCUAACCUGAAUAAAACUUAGUCUUUGUGCUUAACUGCAAGGGAAGAAAGAAAAUUGAGAGGGACAGCCAUUAUUUUUUCUCUAUUCUAAAUUCAAAGUCAAAAAGAAAAAUUAUGAGCUAUUAUCAGGUGUAUUUUUUUACUUCAUAAAUCAUCACUUUUCUCUAGGUGUUUGUUCAUUCCUAGGUGGAAAAAAGAAGUAUUGGUUGAUUGGACAAAGACUUCUCUCUUGAUUAAAUGAAGGUGUGUAAAGGAGAGGGAGAAAAAUUUCUGGUUAAGGAGAAAUGUGUUUCAAAGAAAAGAAAAGGAUGAGAUCCCAGCUGUUGACUCUGUGUUAGUUCACGUGCCACUGAAGUUUUGUUCAUAAAGUCUUUUCCUACACCAAUACCACAGCGAUAUAUGCACAUCCAUGUUUAUAGUGGCACAGUUUGUAAUAGCUAAAUCUUGUAAACAGCCCAAAUGCCCAUCACCUGGUGAGUGGAUAAAGAUGUGGGGGGGGGGUAUAAAAUGGAGUAUUACUCAGCCAUAAAGAAUGAGAAACUAGAGACAUUUAUAGCUAAAUGGAUGCAUAUUGAUGCCAUAGUCUUAAGUGAAUAAAUAGGACACAUGUGUAAAUACUGAAUAGUGUCUAUGGUGUGAGAAACUAAAAGUGUAAAUAAGUACCAAAAUGUAUAAUAGAUAAUCUGAAAUAGGAAGAAAAGAUCCAAAGGGGAAGGGGAAGUGGGAGGGCAAGGGUAAAGAAAGAAGGGGAAAAAUGUGAGAAAAGAAGAAAGAAAUGGAAACAAAGUUUUUUGUAAAUAGG
Molecule: long non-coding RNA, 1371 nt
Filed under: Heterocephalus glaber (naked mole-rat)
Lineage: Eukaryota; Metazoa; Chordata; Mammalia; Rodentia; Bathyergidae
Description: lncRNA (ENSHGLG00000047288.1)
Source: RNAcentral